CAACCAUCAAGCCCCAGGCUUGUGUUGGGGACCUGCGGCUGCCGCAGGCCCUGAAAACCAGUGGCGGGCUCGCUAGUCACUCCGAGCGUAGUAAUACAUCUCGCUCAGGGCGUGCUGCGGGUUCCGGCCGUUAAAAAGCCUUAUUUACCCAA
RNAcentral lists this unclassified non-coding RNA (152 nucleotides) under Humicola nigrescens. RNAcentral describes it as "ITS2". Lineage: Eukaryota; Fungi; Ascomycota; Sordariomycetes; Sordariales; Chaetomiaceae. The record is from RNAcentral.